AUUUUACAAAGACACCUACUCCUGAUGCAAUAUAUAAAAGUGAUUGCCACCAGGGGGUAGAACCUGACAGUAUGAAAAAACCAGUUCCAGUACCCAACACAACACAGAGAGUCCCUCGCACCACAGCCAAUUCAACUUAAUACACAAGGAAGGAGUUUUACAAUUUAUUUUUUUCCCUUCCAAGAACAAACAAUAAAAGGCGUUGUCUUGGAGACCCUUUUCAUAGUUAUGCUACACCUCUAUAUCACAAUCACCAUAUUGUC
Molecule: unclassified non-coding RNA, 263 nt
Filed under: Hevea brasiliensis (rubber tree)
Lineage: Eukaryota; Viridiplantae; Streptophyta; Magnoliopsida; Malpighiales; Euphorbiaceae
Source: RNAcentral